AAGCAAAGAUAAAAACGCAAUGCAUGUAGUGAUAUAUGCCAGAGCUGGUAGGUAGCCCAGCCGUCCUGUUUAUCAGGGUAAGUAACCUUCCCCUCCGGGUUGUCCAUUUUUUGCUUAUU
This 119-nucleotide non-coding RNA is filed under the name Faecalimonas umbilicata. RNAcentral's name for it is "yjdF RNA". It matches the Rfam family "azaaromatic riboswitch aptamer (yjdF RNA)". The record is from RNAcentral. Lineage: Bacteria; Bacillati; Bacillota; Clostridia; Lachnospirales; Lachnospiraceae.